Molecule: non-coding RNA, 2488 nt
Organism: Microcebus murinus (gray mouse lemur)
Lineage: Eukaryota; Metazoa; Chordata; Mammalia; Primates; Cheirogaleidae
Source: RefSeq, a predicted model, not a curated record
UGUCGGAAGCCACAGGGGAAAAUGGUGGAAAAUUCACCGUCGCCAUUGCCAGAAAGAGCGAUUUAUGGCUUUGUUCUGUUCUUAAGCUCCCAGUUUGGCUUCAUACUUUAUCUCGUGUGGGCUUUUAUUCCUGAAUCUUGGCUAAAUUCCUUAGGCUUAACCUAUUGGCCUCAAAAAUACUGGGCAGUGGCAUUACCUGUCUAUCUCCUUAUUACUAUAGUCAUUGGUUAUGUGCUUUUGUUUGGAAUCAACAUGAUGAGUACCUCUCCACUCAACUCCAUUCAUACAAUCACAGAUAGUUAUGCUCAAAAUCAACAGCAGAAGAAAUACCAAGAAGAGGCCAUUCCAGCAUUAAGAGAUAUUCCUAUUAGUGAAGUAAACCAAAUGUUCUUUCUUGCAACCAAAGAACUUCACACUAAAAGCUGAAUUGCACCUGUAAUGUGCUGCCAGGAUUGAGAAUGACUGCCUUAUGUGAUUGGACUUAACUGAGCUUGUGGUCAAGCAGGGCAGUAGCUGUCCACUUCAGAAGAGAAAGCCAGCAGCUGUCUGAGCAGUUCUGUCCCCUUCUUGAUGAGACUCCUGGUCACAUCGGCAGUAUUUCCUUGUCUCCCCUAGGACCAGCAAUGGGCCUGAGACUUGAAAACAGAUGGAGAUACCCACCUCGAUUAUCCUGAGGGUUGAAUCAGGCAGAGUGAGCGAAACCUCUGGAAGUCACAAAGCCUGAUCCCGGGUCUCACUGCUUCUCCCUGCUCAUUCCCUGGCCCCAGCCAGCACCCAGGGACUUGUUUGAUUCAUCUUGGUUGCCCAGUGCCUAGCAUAUCAGGAAUCAUCAGAAGUAGUUACCAUUAAAUUGUUUCGACCGUCCAAUAAGAGAGGCCAUCUUGGACAUCAGAGAGGACCACACACCAGGAGCAGAUGCAUGGCACAUUUAAAAGCUGCGGCCCAACCAUCCCAGGUAGACGCAAACAUGCUCAGCUCUGUAGAAGAAGAAAUACCCAACGGCAUCACCCCAGAACUGCCUGAGGCAACAGACACCCCCGUUAGACCCUCAGCUGCGGCCACCUGCCAAGGACGGCCACCAGAAGAGCCACGUGAGAAGAGUCCAGCAGUUGCAAGGGCUGUGGCAGCAGUGACAGCACCGUCCCCCCAUUCUGCACACCAGUAGGCAUUUGCCCAGGCCUGGCGUGGGGAGAACCUGUAAUCUCUAAGCCCUGUCUGGCUCCAGAUCCUUCCUGCCCUCCCCACUGCUGUCAAGACAGCAGGUGGCAGUGUGGAGAGAACUGUGACACGAAUGUCUACUUGGGGAAAUGCUUAGACACCUGGAGACACCUGGAGUCAUGCUCUGUUCCACCUUUGGGGUUAUCCCUCAGGUUAACACACAGCUGUGGGGUUUGUGCUCCUCCCUUAGCAUCCUGUGGCAGGGCCACUUCUCCUGAAUGCCACCCACAGAGUCCUGGGGACUCGGAUUCUGGUCCCCAAGCGUCCCCUAUGAGAGUUGAGCAAGUUACCAAUCACUUGCACUUUGGUUUCUUAUGGGGAUAAUAAUGAUAGUUACAUUGUGCAGCUGUUGAGAGGAUGAAAUGAGCAAAAUGACUAGACUAGCACCUGAUGCAUAGUCAGGAUUCAGUAAGUGUUAUAUCACACAAUUAUAAAACUAUUAUUGUUGUUGUUGAAAAGAUGCACAGAUCUCUCAUGCAACCCAGGGCAGGAAGGCAGCUGGAUAUCAGAAGUGCAAAGGAAGCAAGAACGAGCGAACCAACAGGACUCUCAGCGGCUCAGCUCUGCGCCUCCAAACAACCACGUCUGUUUCGUUUCAUGUCUUCCUACAGAUUAGCUUUCUCUGCUCCCCAGUCCGACACGGCCAAGUGUGGCUAUCCACCCCAGCUCCUACACACCCAUGUUAUAGGCCCGGCCAUGUUCCCAGGUUGGCUUCCCUUGUGGACCGGGGAGGGGGGAUGGUUCCCAAAGAAGAGAGAAAUAAUUGGGUCAUAUGCCCUAAAAGGGGUCUGUGACAAAACAAACGAGAGCAUUAAUAGGGAUUCUUCACAGGCCACUUCAAAAUGACAAUUGAAUUUCUGUCCUUUCUGGAGAAGUUGCAAAAGCAAAAACCUCUUAUAAGCUUGGCUAUCACUGCCAAUAUAGAUAAAGCGGGGUACUUCUUUGACUAAUACAAAACAAUGUUUUCUUUUAUUGGGACCCGAAUUUUGAAGAGAUUGUGCUCCAAAUAACAACCAGGUCAGAUGGUGAUAAGGAAAAGAUGCAGCCGUAAUCCCUGGGGCCUUUGCUAUUCAGAAGCUCUUUGGAAAUUUGUAAUGUUACUUUUACUGUACCUAAUGUUAUCUUCUUGUCACACAUUAAAUGUUUUGUUGAAUAUAUGAAACCAAGACAAAAAAGACCGUUGUGAUAGCUUUUCUGAGGUGACGUGUUUGGUGAAGUUCAGAUCAUACUGACAAGUCCUUUGAGUAAUUAAAAUAACUGACAAAUGAAA